Molecule: long non-coding RNA, 840 nt
Filed under: Malus domestica (apple)
Lineage: Eukaryota; Viridiplantae; Streptophyta; Magnoliopsida; Rosales; Rosaceae
Description: long non-coding RNA (MDOM_LNC009028)
Source: RNAcentral
AGUGUUUUCUCGAAUGUGAGUAAAGGUUGGGCAUGUUUGCUAGUCUACCAUGCCACGAAGCACAGAGGUUGACACACAGAGACUUUCCAAUUAUCCAGCAGUGGUACUGUUCCUUUACCCUUAUGGGUAAUAAUAUGGUAGCUAGACCUUCAAAAUUUAUGUGUCUAAACUUUGUUAGUGCUGUUUCUUUGCUAUUCUUUUACCUUUCUUGGUCAGAGCGAUGUAGUGGGAGCUGCAAGCUUCACGUGCUCAACUUUGGCAGAGAACUUUGGCAAAGUUAUCUGUGGUACCCAUGAGCUAUUGUUGCGUGUGACAGGUGCUGACAAGGCUAGAAAAGUAGGUGCCUCUUCGAUUUCUGAGAUCGGCCCUCGUGGUCUCUGAGCAGCCCAGCUUUUGAGAAAGCGAGCGCCUCUUCGAUUGAUUCGGAGAACGAUGCCUCAUCGAUUUUUGAGAAAGCAAUCAUGCUGGGGGUCUGGCUCUCGAAGAUUCGGGAAGCAGUGUCUCUUCGAUUUUUGAGAAAGUAAUCAUGUUGGGAGUCUGGCUCUCGAGAUUCGGAGGGCGGUGCCUCUUCGAUUUUGGAGCAAGCAAUCUUGUUGGGAGUGUUUUUCUCGAAUGUGAGUAAAGGUUGGGCAUGUUUGCUAGUCUACCUUGCCACGAAGCACAGAGGUUGACACAGGGACUUUCCAAUUAUCCAGCAAUGGUACUGUUCCUUUACCCUCUCUUCGAUUUUUAAGAAAGUAGUCAUGUUGGGAGUCUGGCUCUCGAGAUUUGGAGGACGGUGCCUCUUCGAUUUUGGAGCAAGCAAUCUUAUUGGGAGUGUUUUCUCGAAUGUGAGUAAAG